GAUGAAGAACGUAGCGAAAUGCGAUACGUAAUGUGAAUUGCAGAAUUCAGUGAAUCAUCGAAUCUUUGAACGCACAUUGCACUCUCUGGUAUUCCGGAGAGUAUGCUUGUUUGAGUAUCAGUAAACACCUCAAAUCUCUUGUUUCUUGUGAAUAAGAGAAUUGGACUUGAGCAAUCCCAACUCUUGCAAAAGAGGCGGGUUGCUUGAAAUGCAGGUGCAGCUGGACAUUCUUCUGAGCUAAAAGCAUAUUUAUUUAGUCCCGUAAAACGGAUUAUUACUUUUGCUGCAGCUAACAUAAAGGUUGAAUGGCCAAUAUGGCUGACUGAUGCAGGAUUAACAGAGAAUUUAUUCUUUGUAAACUCGAUCUCAAAUCAAGUAAGACUACCCGCUGAACUUAAGCAUAUCAAUAGCGGAGGA
RNAcentral lists this unclassified non-coding RNA (417 nucleotides) under soil metagenome. RNAcentral describes it as "partial contains 5.8S ribosomal RNA, internal transcribed spacer 2, and large subunit ribosomal RNA". The stretch from base 1 to 120 matches the Rfam family "5.8S ribosomal RNA", at positions 35 to 154 of the family's 154-position model. The record is from RNAcentral.